AUUGAACGCUGGCGGCAGGCCUAACACAUGCAAGUCGAACGGUAACAGGAAGCAGCUUGCUGCUUUGCUGACGAGUGGCGGACGGGUGAGUAAUGUCUGGGAAACUGCCCGAUGGAGGGGGAUAACUACUGGAAACGGUAGCUAAUACCGCAUAACGUCGCAAGACCAAAGAGGGGGACCUUAGGGCCUCUUGCCAUCGGAUGUGCCCAGAUGGGAUUAGCUAGUAGGUGGGGUAACGGCUCACCUAGGCGACGAUCCCUCGCUGGUCUGAGAGGAUGACCAGCCACACUGGAACUGAGACACGGUCCAGACUCCUACGGGAGGCAGCAGUGGGGAAUAUUGCACAAUGGGCGCAAGCCUGAUGCAGCCAUGCCGCGUGUAUGAAGAAGGCCUUCGGGUUGUAAAGUACUUUCAGCGGGGAGGAAGGGAGUAAAGUUAAUACCUUUGCUCAUUGACGUUACCCGCAGAAGAAGCACCGGCUAACUCCGUG
This 490-nucleotide ribosomal RNA is filed under the name uncultured bacterium. RNAcentral describes it as "partial 16S ribosomal RNA". It matches the Rfam family "Bacterial small subunit ribosomal RNA", at positions 30 to 507 of the family's 1533-position model. The record is from RNAcentral.